RNAcentral lists this ribosomal RNA (301 nucleotides) under uncultured bacterium. RNAcentral describes it as "partial 16S ribosomal RNA". It matches the Rfam family "Bacterial small subunit ribosomal RNA", at positions 509 to 807 of the family's 1533-position model. The record is from RNAcentral.
CAGUCGCCGCGGGAAAACGGAGGGUGCAAGCGUUAUCCGGAUUUAUUGGGUUUAAAGGGUCCGUAGGCGGAUCUGUAAGUCAGUGGUGAAAUCUCACAGCUUAACUGUGAAACUGCCAUUGAUACUGCAGGUCUUGAGUAAAUUUGAAGUGGCUGGAAUAAGUAGUGUAGCGGUGAAAUGCAUAGAUAUUACUUAGAACACCAAUUGCGAAGGCAGGUCACUAAGAUUUAACUGACGCUGAUGGAUGAAAGCGUGGGGAGCGAACAGGAUUAGAUACCCCCGUAGUCCCUGUCUCUUAUAC